This 158-nucleotide ribosomal RNA is filed under the name Cullen corylifolium. RNAcentral describes it as "5.8S ribosomal RNA". It matches the Rfam family "5.8S ribosomal RNA". From Rfam's summary of the family: 5.8S ribosomal RNA (5.8S rRNA) is a component of the large subunit of the eukaryotic ribosome. It is transcribed by RNA polymerase I as part of the 45S precursor that also contains 18S and 28S rRNA. Functionally, it is thought that 5.8S rRNA may be involved in ribosome translocation. The record is from RNAcentral. Lineage: Eukaryota; Viridiplantae; Streptophyta; Magnoliopsida; Fabales; Fabaceae.
AACGACUCUCGGCAACGGAUAUCUCGGCUCUUGCAUCGAUGAAGAACGUAGCGAAAUGCGAUACUUGGUGUGAAUUGCAGAAUCCCGUGAACCAUCGAGUCUUUGAACGCAAGUUGCGCCCGAAGCCAUUAGGCCGAGGGCACGCCUGCCUGGGUGUC